This 1667-nucleotide long non-coding RNA is filed under the name Mus musculus (house mouse). Its description in RNAcentral is "long non-coding RNA chr4:41425414-41427081". The record is from RNAcentral. Lineage: Eukaryota; Metazoa; Chordata; Mammalia; Rodentia; Muridae.
GUCUGUGUAAAGAAUAAAUUAGCAAUAAAUCACCUCUCCUUUACACUUGAACAUGUAUUUCACAGUCCCUUAAAAAUUUAAUAGCAGAUAUACAAAAUUUGCAAAAACUUUAAUACAAAAUUAAAUACUGAUAUAACUGUUUCAAAUAAAUUCUGAUUUUCUGAGCCUUCUAAGUGGCUGGAAAAUUAUUUUUUGCCAGGAUCUAAAUUAGUUUUUAUAACAAACAAACAAACUUUUCACUAUCUACAGUGCAUGGUUUUAAGCAUCUAAAAGCACAUCUGAUUAUUUCGGCUAGCACACGACCUAAUGCUCCAUCUGAGGCAUGGCACUUGGUGACAAGCCUGUGAGGAUUUGGUGUUCCCUUCUUUUGCAUAUGCACUUAAUUUUUCACAAGAAAAAAAUAGAGUAUUUUAACUUAUCAUUUUGGAAUCUAGUCUACCUUUUAAUUUCAUAUUAUCAUCUGAUCCUUUAUAAAAUCUACCUUUUAUGUUUUAUUCUCAUUUAAACAAGGGUGUUGGGUCAAAAUCUUUAGAUGUUUAGUAUUUUUUUUAUUAGAUAUUUUUUCAUUUACAUUUCAAAUGCUAUCCAGAAAGUCCACUAUAGCCUCACCCUAGAUGUUUAGUACUAAUAACCAAACCAUAGGAAGUUAUUCAAAGAGGACAGAAAAUGCUUAGUCCUUUUUAUUUUUAUUUGUGAGGCUCUGAGACGAGGUUUUGCAUUGUUUCUUGAGUAGCCACAGUGCUAGGAAUACCCCUGGACUGCUAUCCCCAGCCAGUCAUUUUUAGAGUUGUGCAAGGAUUCCAGGAUGAGUCUUAUGGACAAAAGGCCUGUGGUUUGAAUUUUAAGUUCAAAAGGCAGAGAGGAAAGUGUGUUCUUUUCCUAGUGGGUACUUUUUGGUUCGUCUGUUUUUGAGACAGGGCAUUUCUCUGUGGCUUGAACUCACCAGCUUGUCUGUCUUGUCUGCGUGCUGGGUUUGCAUGUACCGCCAUGCCUGACACAAAUGAUUAUGUUGGUCUGUCAUCUCUUACCUUGUCCCUAACAUCUAAGCCUCCAGAUAUCUUAAUUAUCUUCAUACCCAGAGUCAGAUGUCAUAGCUAUUACUUAAUAUUGUAAAGUAAAUGUAAUGGCAACAUCUAAAUUAAAAUAUUCAUUCUAAGUCAUGAUGUGUUAAGCACUGAAAAGCAGUAUUUUUAAUAAAUAAUUGUAAUUUAUAUUUUAUGUGUUGUUCAAUAAAAAACUAAAGUAGUAAAAAAAAGAAAGUUUGGUCUUUUACCUUUCAUAUUUACAAUCUACAAUUAAAGAUUUAUUUUAUGUAUGUGACUACACUGUAUCUGUACAGAUGGUUAUGAGCCUUCAUGUGGUUGUUGGGAAUUGAAUUUUUAGGAGCUCUGCUCACUCCAGUCCACCCCACUUGCUCCGGUUGGCCCUGCUCACUCUGGUCAACUCCACUAACUCAGUCCCUGCUUGCUCUGGCCCAAAGAUUUAUUUAUUAUUAUACACAAGUACACUGUUAGCUAACUUCAGACGCACCAGAAGAGGGCGUUAGAUCUCUUUACGGGUGGUUGUGAGCCACCAUGUGGUUACUGGGAUUUGAACUCAGGACCUUUGGAAGAGCAGGCAGUGCUCUUACCUGCUGAGCCAUCUCUCCAGCCCUACAAUCUACAAUU